RNAcentral lists this ribosomal RNA (1490 nucleotides) under uncultured bacterium. Its description in RNAcentral is "partial 16S ribosomal RNA". It matches the Rfam family "Bacterial small subunit ribosomal RNA". The record is from RNAcentral.
AUUAGAGUUUGAUCAUGGCUCAGGAUGAACGCUGGCGGCGUGCUUAACACAUGCAAGUCGAACGGACUUGACCUCUGUUGAAGCUUCGGCAGAUACUUGGUCAAGUUAGUGGCGGACGGGUGAGUAACGCGUGGGUAACCUGCCGUAUACAGGGGGAUAACACUUAGAAAUAGGUGCUAAUACCGCAUAAGCGCACAGGACCGCAUGGUCCGGUGUGAAAAACUCCGGUGGUAUACGAUGGACCCGCGUCUGAUUAGCUAGUUGGUGAGGUAACGGCCCACCAAGGCGACGAUCAGUAGCCGGCCUGAGAGGGUGAACGGCCACAUUGGGACUGAGACACGGCCCAAACUCCUACGGGAGGCAGCAGUGGGGAAUAUUGCACAAUGGGGGAAACCCUGAUGCAGCGACGCCGCGUGAGUGAAGAAGUAUUUCGGUAUGUAAAGCUCUAUCAGCAGGGAAGAAAAUGACGGUACCUGACUAAGAAGCUCCGGCUAAAUACGUGCCAGCAGCCGCGGUAAUACGUAUGGAGCAAGCGUUAUCCGGAUUUACUGGGUGUAAAGGGAGCGUAGACGGUGGUGCAAGUCUGAAGUGAAAGCCCGGGGCUCAACCUCGGGACUGCUUUGGAAACUGUAUGACUAGAGUGCAGGAGAAGUAAGCGGAAUUCCUAGUGUAGCGGUGAAAUGCGUAGAUAUUAGGAGGAACACCGGUGGCGAAGGCGGCUUACUGGACUGUAACUGACGUUGAGGCUCGAAAGCGUGGGGAGCAAACAGGAUUAGAUACCCUGGUAGUCCACGCCGUAAACGAUGAUUACUAGGUGUUGGUGAGUAUGGACUCAUCGGUGCCGCAGCAAACGCAAUAAGUAAUCCACCUGGGGAGUACGUUCGCAAGAAUGAAACUCAAAGGAAUUGACGGGGACCCGCACAAGCGGUGGAGCAUGUGGUUUAAUUCGAAGCAACGCGAAGAACCUUACCCGGGCUUGAAAUGUACUUGACCGAUCUGGAAACAGGUCUUCUAGCAAUAGCAAGUAUGUAGGUGCUGCAUGGUUGUCGUCAGCUCGUGCCGUGAGGUGUCGGCUUAAGUGCCAUAACGAGCGCAACCCACAUUGUUAGUUACUAACAGGUUAAGCUGAGGACUCUGACAAGACUGCCAGCGUAAGCUGUGAGGAAGGUGUGGAUGACGUCAAAUCAGCACGGCCCUUACGUCCGGGGCGACACACGUGUUACAAUGGAUGGUACAGAGGGUCGCUACCUAGUGAUAGGAUGCUAAUCUCCAAAGCCAUUCCCAGUUCGGAUUGGAGUCUGCAACUCGACUCCAUGAAGCUGGAUUCGCUAGUAAUCGCGCAUCAGCCAUGGCGCGGUGAAUACGUUCCCGGGCCUUGUACACACCGCCCGUCAAGCCAUGGAAGCUGGGGGUACCUGAAGUACGUAACCGCAAGGAGCGUCCUAGGGUAAAACUAGUGACUGGGGCUAAGUCGUAACAAGGUAACCAAU